UACGUAGGGGGCUAGCGUUGUCCGGAAUCAUUGGGCGUAAAGCGCGCGUAGGCGGCCCGGUAAGUCCGCUCUGAAAGUCCAGGGCUCAACCCUGGAAAGCGGGUGGAUACUGCCGGGCUAGAAUCCGGAAGAGGCGAGUGGAAUUCCUGGUGUAGCGGUGAAAUGCGCAGAUAUCAGGAAGAACACCCGUGGCUAAGGCGGCUCUCUAGUACGGUACUGACGCUGAGACGCGAAAGCGUGGGGAGCGAACAGG
RNAcentral lists this ribosomal RNA (253 nucleotides) under uncultured bacterium. Its description in RNAcentral is "partial 16S ribosomal RNA". It matches the Rfam family "Bacterial small subunit ribosomal RNA", at positions 524 to 776 of the family's 1533-position model. The record is from RNAcentral.